GCGGAUGUGAUGUAAUUGGCAGCAUUCCAGCCUUCCAAGCUGGCCGUGCGGGAUCGUACCCCGUCAUCCGCUCCA
RNAcentral lists this transfer RNA (75 nucleotides) under Butyricicoccus pullicaecorum. RNAcentral describes it as "tRNA-Gly". It matches the Rfam family "tRNA". Rfam says of the family: Transfer RNA (tRNA) molecules are approximately 80 nucleotides in length. Their secondary structure includes four short double-helical elements and three loops (D, anti-codon, and T loops). Lineage: Bacteria; Bacillati; Bacillota; Clostridia; Eubacteriales; Butyricicoccaceae. The record is from RNAcentral.